CCUACGGGAGGCAGCAGUGGGGAAUCUUGCGCAAUGGGCGAAAGCCUGACGCAGCAACGCCGCGUGCGGGAAGAAGGCUUUCGGGCUGUAAACCGCUUUCAGCAGGAACGAAAAUGACGGUACCUGCAGAAGAAGGAGCGGCCAACUAUGUGCCAGCAGCCGCGGUGAUACAUAGGCUUCAAGCGUUGUCCGGAUUUAUUGGGCGUAAAGAGUUCGUAGGCGGUCAAGUAAGUCGGGUGUGAAAAUUCUGGGCUCAACCCAGAGACGCCACCCGAUACUGCUUAACUUGAGUUCGAUAGGGGAGUGGGGAGUUCCUAGUGUAGCGGUGAAAUGCGCAGAUAUUAGGAGGAACACCGGUGGCGAAGGCGCCACUCUGGAUCGAUACUGACGCUGAGGAACGAAAGCAUGGGUAGCAAACAGGAUUAGAUACCCUGGUAGUCCAUGCCGUAAACGGUGGGCACUAGGUGUGGGUUUCUAUUAACGAAAUCCGCGCCGUCGCUAACGCAUUAAGUGCCCCGCCUGGGGGAGGUACGGUCGCGAGACGUAAACUACAAAUAGAAGUUAAGUACGGCGUUGAGACGUUGCCGAACGGCGACGACGAGGGGAGGUUAGG
RNAcentral lists this ribosomal RNA (613 nucleotides) under uncultured bacterium. RNAcentral describes it as "bacterial SSU rRNA". It matches the Rfam family "Bacterial small subunit ribosomal RNA", at positions 338 to 1533 of the family's 1533-position model. The record is from RNAcentral.